UCCGAAUCGUUUGUGAAUCUCAUCACUGUUAGAAAUCCAAGAGAAGAGAUCCUCUUCCCUUAACACAGAAUGGAAUCAUCAGAGGAAAAAUCUGCUUCUUAAUCAAUUAGUUUCAGCGUUUGCUGUAAUUCAUAACGCGCUCUGUGACCUUCUCCCUCCCUCAGGACUCUGUGGUCUGUGUGUUCUGGUAUCUGCUGAGUCACCAGAAAUCUGCCAAGACACUGACACUUGCGCCUGCUUCAACAUCUGGCGCAUAAGGGCUUUAAGGUUUCCAGAACCAAGCUGCAAUAUUGCAUGAACACUUAAGUCAGAAAAUGGAUCCCUGACUGCUCUUUAUAUGACAAGCUUCUCCGUUCCACAAUCUCUCAUCACGAUCCACUGCAACAUCCUUUGACCUGGACUGACGCUAUGGUGGUUGCUUAUCACUCCCUCAGAAGCACCCUUUGUUCCGCCCCUGGGUUACCUGCUCUCUUCAAGCCCUUCCACCUCUAUGCCUGUGAACACCAAGGCACAGCCUCUGGGGAGCAUGAGGGGGGGGGGGGAAAUGCAUCAUUGUGCGUUUUUAUCCAAAACAUUAGACAUUGUUGCUCAAGGCUUACCUGCGUGUCUAGGGGCUGUCUCCGCAUGUGCUUUGAUGGUUUUAGAUGCGGAAAAAUUGGUUUUGUCUCACCCACUGAUCUUGCACUCGUCACAUCAAGUUAAACAGGUGUUGCAAAAUUUAC
Neoarius graeffei (lesser salmon catfish) is the source of this 722-nucleotide long non-coding RNA. RefSeq lists it as uncharacterized. NCBI's taxonomy places the organism in Eukaryota, Metazoa, Chordata, Actinopteri, Siluriformes, Ariidae. The record is from RefSeq and is a predicted model, not a curated record. The transcript has 3 exons.